GGUCUGGUAGUUCAGUUGGUUAGAAUGCCGCCCUGUCACGGCGGAGGUCGCGGGUUCGAGCCCCGUCCAGACCGCCA
This 77-nucleotide transfer RNA is filed under the name Thomasclavelia ramosa. RNAcentral's name for it is "tRNA-Asp". It matches the Rfam family "tRNA". From Rfam's summary of the family: Transfer RNA (tRNA) molecules are approximately 80 nucleotides in length. Their secondary structure includes four short double-helical elements and three loops (D, anti-codon, and T loops). Lineage: Bacteria; Bacillati; Bacillota; Erysipelotrichia; Erysipelotrichales; Coprobacillaceae. The record is from RNAcentral. RNAcentral also lists the same sequence under 11 other names.